AUGGCAAGAUGUCCCAAGAAAUAUGGGCCUGCUACAUGGGAUAAUACAGGCAACAGUUUAAAGGGGUCAGAAAUCCCUGUCGAGCCAAACCCCCACCCCACCCCCACGCCCACCCCCACUAAGAAAGAUAUAGGAACUCUAGUUUGCUCUCCACAUGCCAUGUACGAGGUAAUACUCCAUCUAAGUCCACGUCAAAAGGAAGCUAUCGAGGGUUCAGGUCUUGGCAACUUGCUAAAGAUUGACAACAUACAUAUUGACCGAAACUUGUGUAAUGAGAUUGCAAGAAGCUACGACAAGGAGAAGAAAGCAUUCAAUAUUAAUGGUACCUUCGUAACGAUGACACUCGAUGAUGUUGAUUGUUUGCUUGGACUGCCAUCAAAAGGAGAUGACAUAUUUGAGGCACCAAAAAUCAAUAAACCAGAAUUGUUCAACCUGUACAAACAGGAAGGCCAAACAACAAUUACUUUACAAGCAUUACGGGAAGCAAUAAUCAACUCCUCGAGCUACGAUGACCACUUCAUUCGAAGAUUUAUUCUUUUCUCAAUUGGAUCAUUCAUAUGUCCUACAACUCAAAGAUAUGUGCGCUCAGAAUAUCUCAAUCUCGUCGACGACGUUGACAAAAUGAGGGAACUAAACUGGUCUAGUCUAACACUGAAUCAGUUACUGAAAGGCAUAAUAAAAUUUAGAGAGAAGACAACAAACAUUGAGGGGAAUGUAUGCCUCUUACAGAUUUGGUAUUGGGAAAAAGUGCAAAUAGAUAAAUUGGCUGCGACAAUAUAUCAUUCUAGCCGUCAAAGGCCACUAAUUCAGUACUGGGAAAAAAAAGAAAAAAAGCGAAUUUCUUACCUUUUUGGACAAGGGAAGGUUGUCGACGAUAUUAGGGGAACUAUACAUUGCAAUGAAAUCCCCGAUGAAAAAGCGCACGACAAUGACUCAGAAACACGUAGCAAUGAAGAUUUUCAAGGCACUUCUGAAGAGAUACACUCUAUAACAUCCACUGAACAAUUAGCCGACAUCACUUUACAAGAAAGGUUACAAGAAAGCAUCCAAACUUUACAAGAUAAUUUCAAUGAUUUCACAAAGGAUUUUUGGCCACGUAUGCGAUCAUUGAUACUAGAUUGCAUGGAAAAUGAUUCAAAAUGCCCAAAGCGAAAAGAUAGUACGCAUGUGUUUGAGGAUGUUGAACAAGAACAAAAUGAUCCCAGGGAGCAUGUAUCAAAUCAUAACGAAGAGUCCUAUAUAAACCAAAAUGUAAACAUGACUUGUGAAACGAAGAGCAAUCAAAGCAGGAAGAGGCUUACAGGUCCUAAAGGAAGAACAUACAAACCAACUAAUUGGACUGACUUCAUCUACGAAACAAGGGUGUACAUCGAGAAGGAAGAUCUUACCCAACAAAUCAUAGACAAAGGCCCACCAAAGAACGCCUUAAGAGGUCAAAAGAAGACAAAAACGAAUGGCCAGACACCGUUAAAAAAUUCAGAAGAAGUGGAGGUUAAACGGAAAAAAAUGAAAGUACUAACACAACCAGCUUUCUUGAAUGAUGAUGUCAUGGAUGCAUACAUUCAAUGCCUCCGCUAUAAAGAGAAAGGAAUCAGGGGAGAUGGCAAGGCCUUCCUAGAGAUGGCCAUUAAAACAGGUCUACUAAAUGUAGAGGGAGCGCAUGUCGAAGCAAGCGAAUCUCGAGAUAAACGAUGGAUUAGAGAUAUGGCACGCGACUAUCUACCAUUUGACAUGCUACUAGCUAUCGAGAGGGGAUUACACGGGACAGAGAAUCAGCACCCACAGUUAAAACACGAUUGGCCUGAUUUCAAUAUUACCGAAUGGGAGUACAACAAAGUCCAAAAAUUGCCAAAGCAAGGAGACGGCGUCUCGUGCGGCCUGUACACCCUUAAGUUCAUGGAGCAUUGGACUGGAUCUUAUCUCCCAAAAAUUCAACUACAGGUCGAUGGCGACAGCGGUGGAGUGGAGAAGGGUGCGUCGGUCCAUGGGGAGGAUAACGUGGCGGUGGUGGCGCGGGGAGGCGACGCGGCGAAGAGGACUCGUCGCCCGCCGGCGGAGGCGGGUGGAGGGGCGACUACGUCACGCGACUCGCUGGACAAGGGGGCGGGGGAGGAGGACGGCGACGGUGGGGGCUCACAAGCCGGCGCUGAGACGCGGGCGGAGGAGAAGGAGGGGAGGGCGAUGAGGAAGGGCUUCGACGGAGGGAAGCCGCCGAUAUCAGGGGAGGCGGGGAGGCGGACGUCGACGGAGGGGCGCUGGCGGUGGAGAAGGCGGCGAGGAAGGGCGAGUGCGACGGAGGCGGCGAGGGAGAUGGACGGCGGCGGAGGUGGGGAUGGGGUGGACUGGUGACGGGAAGUGG
RNAcentral lists this long non-coding RNA (2359 nucleotides) under Oryza sativa Indica Group (long-grained rice). RNAcentral's name for it is "lncRNA OsZS97_09G009350". The record is from RNAcentral. Lineage: Eukaryota; Viridiplantae; Streptophyta; Magnoliopsida; Poales; Poaceae.